This 467-nucleotide ribosomal RNA is filed under the name uncultured bacterium. RNAcentral's name for it is "partial 16S ribosomal RNA". It matches the Rfam family "Bacterial small subunit ribosomal RNA", at positions 28 to 507 of the family's 1533-position model. The record is from RNAcentral.
GAUGAACGCUGGCGGCGUGCUUAACACAUGCAAGUCGAACGGAAAGGCCAGUGCUUGCACUGGUGCUCGAGUGGCGAACGGGUGAGUAACACGUGGGUGAUCUGCCCUGCACUUUGGGAUAAGCCUGGGAAACUGGGUCUAAUACCAGAUAGGACCAUGCUUUGGAUGGUGUGGUGGAAAGUUUUUUCGGUGUGGGAUGAGCUUGCGGCCUAUCAGCUUGUUGGUGGGGUAAUGGCCUACCAAGGCGUCGACGGGUAGCCGGCCUGAGAGGGUGUACGGCCACAUUGGGACUGAGAUACGGCCCAGACUCCUACGGGAGGCAGCAGUGGGGAAUACUGCACAAUGGGCGCAAGCCUGAUGCAGCGACGCCGCGUGGGGGAUGACGGCCUUCGGGUUGUAAACUCCUUUCGCAACUGACGAAGCUUUUUGUGACGGUAGGUUGAGAAGAAGCACCGGCUAACUACGUG